CACCGCGGUUAUACGAGAGGUCCAAGUUGAUAUUAACCGGCGUAAAGAGUGGUUAGGAGUAAUAUUACAAACUAAAGCCGAACACCUUCAGAACUGUUAUACGUACCCGAAGGCACGAAGAACUACCACGAAAGUGGCUUUACCAACCCUGAACCCACGAAAGCUAUGACA
RNAcentral lists this ribosomal RNA (171 nucleotides) under Neoniphon opercularis. Its description in RNAcentral is "partial small subunit ribosomal RNA". Lineage: Eukaryota; Metazoa; Chordata; Actinopteri; Holocentriformes; Holocentridae. The record is from RNAcentral.